UUUAUUUUUUUCCACAGGACGAUUCUUAAUACUUUACCAGAUGGAAACACCACCACCACCAUCUUUGCCAUUUCAGCUCUUAUGCAUUAGGCAGCCACGAUAUCUUCAGGGCCUUCUUUCUCAUUCACGCCAUCUCAAGCAAGGCAAGGUACUUCUACGGAAGGGUGCGACCUCACGGAUGGAGCAAUGGUCACUCAGUCUGAGGUAUUUUGUUAUGGUAGCCUGAACAGACCAAGACACCAAUAAGACGGUAUUUGGAGGUGG
RNAcentral lists this long non-coding RNA (264 nucleotides) under Homo sapiens (human). RNAcentral describes it as "HSALNT0378346". The record is from RNAcentral. Lineage: Eukaryota; Metazoa; Chordata; Mammalia; Primates; Hominidae.